CCCCCUCCCCCGUUCCUGCGAUUCUUGACCACCGGCGACACCACCUCCAACCACCACUCCUCCUCCACUUCCUCUUUCCUUCUUCUUCUUUUCUUUCUUUUCUUUCCUUUCCUUUUCUUUUCUUUUCUUUCUUUCUUCUUCCCUACCGUUGUGCUGCGCCUGCAGGUUGGAGCAGAUCGACCACCGCACGCCAUUGCUGUAGCUCGCCGCCGCAAGUCGCACCUCCACAGAGCAGCUCCACAUCGCGCCGGCAAGCUCAGAUCGCGACUGCUGCUCCUCUGUCGCUCCUACAGCAGCACCACAGCCCUGUCAAGGUGCUGCUGCCACUGCCGCCGCUCCAGCACGUCGAUCGGUCACCUCCGCCGAUCCCACAGCAGCCCUGCCGCUGCUCCAGUGCACCUCCGGCCACUAGCCUCCACCUGCUCUUCAUUCCGGCACGUGUAGCCUCCAUUUCUGGUCAAAUAAUUCCAGCAGCAAUAUUUAUUGGAUCGCUCGGAUCCAUGUAGUGCUCCUCCAGGACAGAAUCAAAGCUAGAACUUCGCUUUCCAUCACUGUAGUAGGAAGUUGCUGAUCCAACAGAAGCUCUGUCAUUUUCCUCGCGGAGCUACAAAAGUAAAUUUAUAACUUUUGUUAUUAUAAGUUGAGAAUUGUAUUAUUAAUUAUAUGCACUACUCUAUUUUCAAACUAUUGUUGAACUCCGCAGUUGUAGGGUCAUGUAUUUUCAAUUGGGCUUGCCGUAUGUGUUACCUUA
Molecule: long non-coding RNA, 751 nt
Organism: Jatropha curcas
Lineage: Eukaryota; Viridiplantae; Streptophyta; Magnoliopsida; Malpighiales; Euphorbiaceae
Source: RefSeq, a predicted model, not a curated record